Molecule: ribosomal RNA, 230 nt
Filed under: uncultured bacterium
Lineage: Bacteria
Description: partial 16S ribosomal RNA
Rfam family: Bacterial small subunit ribosomal RNA
Source: RNAcentral
AAAGCGUGCGCAGGCGGUUAUGUAAGACAGAUGUGAAAUCCCCGGGCUCAACAUGGGAACUGCAUUUGUGACUGCAUGGCUAGAGUACGGUAGAGGGGGAUGGAAUUCCGCGUGUAGCAGUGAAAUGCGUAGAUAUGCGGAGGAACACCGAUGGCGAAGGCAAUCCCCUGGACCUGUACUGACGCUCAUGCACGAAAGCGUGGGGAGCAAACAGGAUUAGAUACCCUUGU